UAAGGAAUAUUGCUCAAUGGGAGAAAUCCUGAAGCAGCAACGCCGCGUGGAGGAUGAAGGGUCUAUGACUUGUAAACUCCUGUAAAGAAGGAAAAAAUUCCCAUUAGAUGGGAGAUGAUGGUACUUCUGGAGUAAGCCCCGGCUAACUACGUGCCAGCAGCCGCGGUAAUACGUAGGGGGCAAGCGUUGUCCGGAUUUACUGGGUGUAAAGGGUGCUCAGGCGGAUUUGUAAGUCAGAGGUGAAAUCUUACAGCUUAACUGUGAAACUGCCUUUGUUACUGCAAGCCUAGAGUAUGGAAGAGNGUGAUGGAAUAUCUGGUGUAGCAGUGAAAUGCGUAGAUAUCAGAUAGAACACCAAUGGCGAAGGCAGUCACUUGGUCCAUUACUGACGCUAAAGCACGAAAGCGUGGGUAGCAAACA
RNAcentral lists this ribosomal RNA (420 nucleotides) under uncultured bacterium. Its description in RNAcentral is "bacterial SSU rRNA". It matches the Rfam family "Bacterial small subunit ribosomal RNA", at positions 355 to 774 of the family's 1533-position model. The record is from RNAcentral.